RNAcentral lists this ribosomal RNA (434 nucleotides) under Lachnaia pubescens. RNAcentral describes it as "partial 16S large subunit ribosomal RNA". It matches the Rfam family "Bacterial large subunit ribosomal RNA", at positions 1819 to 2523 of the family's 2925-position model. The record is from RNAcentral. Lineage: Eukaryota; Metazoa; Arthropoda; Insecta; Coleoptera; Chrysomelidae.
GGCCUUUUGAUUAUAAUAUAAGGUCUGGCCUGCUCUAUGAUGAAAUUAAAUGGCCGCAGUAAUUUGACUGUGCUAAGGUAGCAUAAUCAUUAGUCUCUUAAUUAGGGGCUGGAAUGAAAGGUUCGAUGAAGGGAUAACUGUCUCUGGUUUUUUUCUAGAAUUUUAUUUUUAAGUAAGAAAGCUUAAAUUUUUUUGAAAGACGAGAAGACCCUAUAGAGUUUUAUAGCUUUACUUGUUAUUUAUUUUUGUAUAUUAUAGGGGUAAUAGGUGUGUUUAUUUAGUUGGGGUGAUUAUAAAAUUUGUAUAACUUUUAUUGUUUAAUGGUCACUGAUGAGUGUUAGAUUGAUCCGGAAUUUCCGAUUAGAAGAAUAAAUUACCUUAGGGAUAACAGCGUAAUCUUUUUUUAGAGUUCUAAUCGAGAAAGGGGGUUGCGA